RNAcentral lists this unclassified non-coding RNA (422 nucleotides) under Hevea brasiliensis (rubber tree). Lineage: Eukaryota; Viridiplantae; Streptophyta; Magnoliopsida; Malpighiales; Euphorbiaceae. The record is from RNAcentral.
UUUGAGAAGGAGGUGAAGGAAAGGAUUAAAGUCACCCGGCAAGUUGUUGCUGAGGCGAAAGAGUCAUUUGAUAAUCAAUUGAAGAUUCAGAAGCUGAAAGAUACAAUAUUUGCUGUCAAUGAGCAGCUAAUGAAGGCGAAGAAGCAAGGUGCUUUCUCGAGCUUGAUUGCUGCCAAGUCUAUCCCGAAGAGCGUGCAUUGUUUGGCAAUGAGGUUAAUGGAUGAGCGUAUCACUCAUCCUGAUAAGUAUACAGAUGAUGGGAAGCCUACUCCACCAGAAUUUGAGGAUCCUAGCCUUUAUCAUUAUGCAAUCUUCUCUGACAACGUUCUUGCUGCUUCAGUUGUGGUGAAUUCAGCAGUUAAAAACUCGAAUGACCCAUCGAAGCAUGUGUUUCACGUGGUGACUGAUAAAAUGAAUCUUGG